CCUACUUCUUAUUGAAUCAAAGAAGAUGGCUAAGUUAAAUAAGAAGUUGAGGCGUCGUAUGUUGAAUCUUGAAGAAGAAAACAACAACGUAAAGAGUUUGAAUAAGUCUCUUGAGGAGGAAAGAGAUUCAAGUUUGAAGAUUAAUUCGGACCUCCAACAGAAGCUUAAUGAUGCGGAAUCUACGAUCAAAUCUUCUAAUGACAAGAUUGAAUUUUUGGAGCAUCAAUUUCAUGAAUCGCACAAGUCCAAUCAAGUCUUGACCGAUCAAGUUC
This 272-nucleotide long non-coding RNA is filed under the name Ananas comosus (pineapple). RNAcentral's name for it is "long non-coding RNA (ACOM_LNC038483)". The record is from RNAcentral. Lineage: Eukaryota; Viridiplantae; Streptophyta; Magnoliopsida; Poales; Bromeliaceae.